This 214-nucleotide unclassified non-coding RNA is filed under the name Hevea brasiliensis (rubber tree). The record is from RNAcentral. Lineage: Eukaryota; Viridiplantae; Streptophyta; Magnoliopsida; Malpighiales; Euphorbiaceae.
GUUCGUAUCUACUAGUUCUGUCGAUUUUUGGUCCUCCUCCAACUCAGCAUCUCUAAUAGCAAUUACAUGAUCAUUCCUUUUCUUCUUUUCUUGUCUACUUGGCUUUCCCAACAACAGGGUAUUUGUUGAAUCACCACCCUCAAUUUUCCCAGUAGCAUUGUUACAUGGUGAAAUAACAGGAACUAAUUCUCCUUGUAAACAAAUCGAAUUUAGA